Molecule: ribosomal RNA, 301 nt
Filed under: uncultured bacterium
Lineage: Bacteria
Description: partial 16S ribosomal RNA
Rfam family: Bacterial small subunit ribosomal RNA
Source: RNAcentral
CAGUCGCCACGGGAAUACGAAGGGUGCAAGCGUUACUCGGAAUUACUGGGCGUAAAGCGUGCGUAGGUGGUGGUUUAAGUCCGUUGUGAAAGCCCUGGGCUCAACCUGGGAAUUGCAGUGGAUACUGGAUCACUAGAGUGUGGUAGAGGAUAGUGGAAUUUCCGGUGUAGCAGUGAAAUGCGUAGAGAUGUGGAGGAACACCAGUGGCGAAGGCGACUCUCUGGUCUGUAACUGACGCUGAGGAGCGAAAGCGUGGGGAGCGAACAGGAUUAGAUACCCCUGUAGUCCCUGUCUCUUAUAC